CCUACGGGUGGCAGCAGUCGAGAAUUUUUCUCAAUGGGGGCAACCCUGAAGGAGCGACGCCGCGUGGAGGAUGAAGGCUUUCGGGUUGUAAACUCCUGUCAUUUGAGAACAAGUGGCCGAACUUAACUACUUCGGCCUUGAUAGUAUCAGAAGAGGAAGGGACGGCUAACUCUGUGCCAGCAGCCGCGGUAAUACAGNGGUCCCGAGCGUUGUUCGGAUUCAUUGGGCGUAAAGGGUGCGUAGGUGGCGUGGUAAGUGGGGUGUGAAAUCCCGAGGCUUAACCUCGGGACUGCAUUCCAUAGUGCCGUGCUUGAGGACUGGAGAGGAGACUGGAAUUUACGGUGUAGCAGUGAAAUGCGUAGAGAUCGUAAGGAAGACCAGUGGCGAAGGCGGGUCUCUGGACAGUUCCUGACACUGAGGCACGAAGGCCAGGGGAGCAAACGGGAUUAGAUACCCCGGUANUC
RNAcentral lists this ribosomal RNA (464 nucleotides) under uncultured bacterium. RNAcentral's name for it is "bacterial SSU rRNA". It matches the Rfam family "Bacterial small subunit ribosomal RNA", at positions 338 to 795 of the family's 1533-position model. The record is from RNAcentral.